This 507-nucleotide ribosomal RNA is filed under the name uncultured Rhizophagus. Its description in RNAcentral is "SSU rRNA". It matches the Rfam family "Eukaryotic small subunit ribosomal RNA", at positions 569 to 1078 of the family's 1831-position model. Lineage: Eukaryota; Fungi; Glomeromycota; Glomeromycetes; Glomerales; Glomeraceae. The record is from RNAcentral.
AGCAGCCGCGGUAAUUCCAGCUCCAAUAGCGUAUAUUAAAGUUGUUGCAGUUAAAAAGCUCGUAGUUGAAUUUCGGGGUUAGUAGAUUGGUCAUGCCUCUGGUAUGCACUGGUCUUACUGACUCCUCCUUCCUGAUGAACCGUAAUGCCAUUAAUUUGGUGUUGCGGGGAAACUGGACUGUUACUUUGAAAAAAUUAGAGUGUUUAAGGCAGGCUCGCGCUUGAAUACAUUAGCAUGGAAUAAUGAAAUAGGACGUUUAUCCUAUUUUGUUGGUUUCUAGGAUUGACGUAAUGAUUAAUAGGGAUAGUUGGGGGCAUUAGUAUUCAAUUGUCAGAGGUGAAAUUCUUGGAUUUAUUGAAGACUAACUACUGCGAAAGCAUUUGCCAAGGAUGUUUUCAUUAAUCAAGAACGAAAGUUAGGGGAUCGAAGACGAUCAGAUACCGUCGUAGUCUUAACCAUAAACUAUGCCGACUAGGGAUCGGAUGAUGUUAAUUUUUUAAUGACUCA